This 465-nucleotide ribosomal RNA is filed under the name Vreelandella stevensii. Its description in RNAcentral is "partial 16S ribosomal RNA". It matches the Rfam family "Bacterial small subunit ribosomal RNA", at positions 338 to 795 of the family's 1533-position model. The record is from RNAcentral. Lineage: Bacteria; Pseudomonadati; Pseudomonadota; Gammaproteobacteria; Oceanospirillales; Halomonadaceae.
CCUACGGGGGGCUGCAGUGGGGAAUAUUGGACAAUGGGGGGAACCCUGAUCCAGCCAUGCCGCGUGUGUGAAGAAGGCCCUCGGGUUGUAAAGCACUUUCAGUGAGGAAGAACGCCUGGUGGUUAAUACCCAUCAGGAAAGACAUCACUCACAGAAGAAGCACCGGCUAACUCCGUGCCAGCAGCCGCGGUAAUAUGGAGGGUGCGAGCGUUAAUCGGAAUUACUGGGCGUAAAGCGCGCGUAGGUGGCUUGAUAAGCCGGUUGUGAAAGCCCCGGGCUCAACCUGGGAACGGCAUCCGGAACUGUCAAGCUAGAGUGCAGGAGAGGAAGGUAGAAUUCCCGGUGUAGCGGUGAAAUGCGUAGAGAUCGGGAGGAAUACCAGUGGCGAAGGCGGCCUUCUGGACUGACACUGACACUGAGGUGCGAAAGCGUGGGUAGCAAACAGGAUUAGAUACCCUUGUAGUC